RNAcentral lists this long non-coding RNA (3915 nucleotides) under Mus musculus (house mouse). RNAcentral describes it as "long non-coding RNA chr7:73185630-73189545". The record is from RNAcentral. Lineage: Eukaryota; Metazoa; Chordata; Mammalia; Rodentia; Muridae.
GACCUUCCGUUCAGAGCCUUACUGGAACCAAACAAGCAACUAGGUGACCUUCUGGACACCAGCUCUGAUGUCAGUUAUGUGUAAAGCCAGGCAGAUGGGUCCAGAUAGUCCUGGAGAUUUCCACCUACUGAAAUGUUUCCAUACUUAAUUUCUACUCAGAGAACCUGAAGUCACUUCUAACAGUAUCUCUCAAGACCGAUACAGUUGAGCUCCAUCUGCCCUUCUAACAUCGGCGGCCUGGCAACAGUGUCUUGCUAAGCUGGGAAACAUGGUAUGGUGAGAAGGUCUCUAACUUCGGUCAAGACUCAGUUCUGCCACUCUCCACAAUGACUCUGGGCAAGGUACUUAACAGCUCUGAUUUUUAUUAUUGGGUCUGGUAAAUGUGGGUUGUGGUCUCUGCUGUGUGGUACUGGGGAUACUAAGAUGAAGUGACGUAAUACAAAGAAAGAACAUGCCAUCCUUAGUCUACAGCAAAUGCUGCAAAAGCAAGGGGGCCUUUGACCAGCUCUUCAACACUCCCCCCACAUCCACUCACUUUCGCACACCCAUAUGGUCACACUGAGAUGCACAUGCUCAUACAAACAGAUCAUCGCUGCUCAACCUUCCUAAUGCUGUUACCCUUUAGUACAGUUCCAUGUGUUGUGGUGACCCCAACCAUAAAAUUAUUUCAUUGCUACUUCAUAACUAUAAUUUUGCUACCGUUAUGAAUCAUAAUGUAACUGUCUGAUAUGCAGGAUAUCUGAUAGGUAAGCCUAAAAGGGUCAUGACCCACAGGUUGAGAACUUCUGAGAUAAAGGAUGCUGAUAGAUAGACAUACACCAACGGAUGCUUUCACACAGAGGCAUGUGCACAUACUUCUCUAUUCUCUUACACACUUAUUUGCACACAUCCACUUUCCGUUCGGCUAAAAUAAGCAAGCUCUUCUCACAUCUUUCCUUUUCAUAAGCCAGUUUCCAGCAAGCAGGACAGAGCGCAGCUGCUCAAAGCAAGCAAUCCCAUCUGUCCACCCAACCAUUCAGCAAACUGAGGCUCUAAUGAAUGCCAAAUGCAAAAGUCAUCAAGGGACAGCAGGCAGUGUUCCCUGCCACUGGUUCCCAUUUGCCUGGUGAUGGGAGAGUCCAGCCUCACUCUGCUUCUAGGAACUCAGGGUAGCCCUGUGACCUCAGCUCUCUUUGGCCUCUGUAUAUUUUCAUUUCCCAACACUUGGCAACACCCUGAAACUCCAUCUGCACAUGCCUGUGUUUGGAUGAUGAGGGUAAGGAUAGUUCACACGGUGCUGUGUUCAAUGGCUAUGAGCUGCAAGCAGUCCAUCUUUGCUAGAGCCUUGAAGGUCAAAUUGACACCAGAAUCUCAAAUACACUCAGAAAUAAAUGCCUAUACAUUUGUCAGUUGAUGACCGGCUCUGCCGGACCAAAUGCCUUUUCAGCUAUAAUUCCACAGGUGCUUCAGAGCACUAUCCCAGCAUGGCCUUGUCCUGGACUGCAUGGGGUUCAUUCUUCAUCCUCAAUGGUCAGGAGCCACUUCCAACAGGUGCCCAGGGAGGACAAAGGAUCCAGGUAUGCUUGUCUAGUUCAGGUUUGAGGUUAUCAGUUAUUUCUUUGUAGCUUCAUAGCUUGAAAUCUAAAGAGAAGGCUUAGAUAGGUUUCUACUGUACCUGCUUGUAUUCUAAUGCCAAUUACGUUCCCCAAAAACAUGUUUGAAGGAGAACACACGUAGCUUCUGGGUACCUGCCCCCAGUUGAUGCUGAUUGGUAAGUAAAGAUGCCAACAGCUAAUAGCUGAGCAGGGCGGACAGAGGAGGGAUUUUAGGAUCCCCAAGCUUGGGGCCAGGAAAAGAAGAGGGAGAAGGAGAUCCGCCAAGGCCAGAGAGCAUGGAGGAGAGAAGAGACGUCAUGCCUGAGAAGAAUGCAGGACAAAGAAACAUGGCCACCAUGGGAAGGAGCCGGCAGAGCACAGUCCAGCAGGCUGCCCAACUUGGGUCCAGAGCAGUAAAAGGUAGAACACAGAAUUUAGGAAGUAGUGACGCAGAAUUAUCGGCAGGAGGUGCAUUCGAUCAGCUGUAGCAGUUAGGCAAAGGCCCAGCUAUUGUGCUGAUUAAGGCAUAUUAAAAUAUAAAGGCUGUGUGUGAAUGUCUUUCAUUUGGGAACAUAAACCAUUGGGUCAGGUAGCGAACCCACUGCUGGGAUUUAUUUAUUUAUUAAUAUGUAAUUCAACAUUCCACCACUCAUUAAAUACAUGACUUGUAAGAGGUGAACUUUGCUAAUACAAACAUCUUGGCUGGUGAUAGGUUUGUAUCUGCUAUACCCAGAAGAUAUGCAAAAGAUCAUAAGUCAAACAUGCAAUUCCCCUAACCCACUGAGUAUCUUGACUUAGGCCAGUCUAUCUUACAUGUGUUCAUAACAUAUGCAUUAUAUUUUGGUUGGGCAAAGCCAUCUAACAGAAGGCCUACUUUAUAAUGAAGGACCGAACAUAUCUCAUAUGCUUGACUGAAGGUGAAAAUCAGAAUGGUUAUAUGCUGUGCUUUCAUUCCAUUAUAAAACUGAGAUCAGUUAAGUUGAACCAUCAUAAGCCAGGAGCUGUAUGUGCUUAGCUUCAUCAUCCUCAAAACGUAAAUAUUAAUCCUCGUGGAAUUGAUAGGACAAGCCAAAGUACAUGGGAAGCACUUUUCCUAGCAAGAAUUAAAGACUAACGGCAGCUAUACUUCUCAUAGCGCCUUCUAGUAUCAACUCUACUACAAUCUUACAUAAAAAUAAUGAAUAUGUGUAUUAAAGGGACCUGAGGUGAAUCACAGGAAAGUAGAAGCUAUUGACUUAUUCAGAACUGUGGGAUUGGAUGCUUGGACUUUUAUUCCCACUGUAACCAUGUUUCUAAAACACAGAUCAGAAUUUAAAAAGGAGACUCAGGUGGUUCAUUUACUGAAACUCCGGGGAACAGAAUGUUUAAUUUACUGCUCUCCUAUUUAUUUGACUCACACACAGGCUUCACUUUUCCUGAUGGAGCAAAAGGAGUAUCAGGAGAUAAAUGGUGAUGCCAGACUGGAUCUCAGACAACACUGGAAGCAUCUCCAGGCUUUCCUAACACCAGAUUAAUCCAUAUGAAUGGAAAGGACAAUUCAUUUGUCCUUCCCUGUGACCCUCAUUCUGUCCCAGAUGGACCACGCUAAAGAGGAUGUAGAGUAUGAAGUCUGUCUGAAUAUGUGAAAGGACUGACACCAGGGUUGUUGUGAAGCUGUGGGGCCUUUGUUGAGCCAGAGAUACGGCUUGAAGGGAGAAAAUGAAACAUAGGUUGUGGCUCAGUUCUCAGCUAAGUACCCAGUACCCAGUUGAGUAGAGUAAGUGAGCUGCCUAUGCAAGUCAGCCAGAGGAAGACACAGAUGUCAGGGAAGAAGCAGGGCGUGGCUCCACCUAAAUGAGGAGGGGGAGCUCUAUGCCUGGCUGGGAGACCCUGUGGGUACUGGUGAUGACCAGCCCACACUCAGCCCUGAGCCAUAAAGACACAAAAGAAACCCCAAAGGAAGGAACGAACUGACUUGUCAAUCAUUCCCUACAGUUUUUAUUGAAGCAGGUCUGCCCAGCCUCUGCCUGCCUGCAGGAACUUAGAGACACACUAGCACUCUAUGGACGAGCAAAGACCAAAGUCAGGAGCAGAUCUUCAUCAAAUGGUGAGGAUUCCAUCUCAUCAGCCAGAGCAGUCAUCAACGAAGCCAAGGACAGCUCUCACAAGUUGUCCUUGAACCUCCACACACGGGCAUAUAUAUGACUAAAUUUAAUUUGUUAAAGCCAAAUUUUUUUAAAAAUUAAAAAAAAAACAAGCAAAAUUGUGGAGACUUUAUAAUUUAUGUUUAAUGCCAAGAAUGCCUCAUGCCAGAUAGUCGUCAGAACUUUCAUACAUUGCCACAGCUAAUGACCACCAUAAC